RNAcentral lists this transfer RNA (73 nucleotides) under Ixodes scapularis (black-legged tick). It matches the Rfam family "tRNA". Rfam says of the family: Transfer RNA (tRNA) molecules are approximately 80 nucleotides in length. Lineage: Eukaryota; Metazoa; Arthropoda; Arachnida; Ixodida; Ixodidae. The record is from Rfam by way of RNAcentral.
CCCUGGUUAGUUCAGUUGGUAGAGCACUCCACCUGUAAUGGAGAGGUCCCGGGUUCGAUACCCGGACCAGGCA